AGUGAACGCUGGCGGUAGGCCUAACACAUGCAAGUCGAACGGCAGCACAGUAAGAGCUUGCUCUUACGGGUGGCGAGUGGCGGACGGGUGAGGAAUACAUCGGAAUCUACUUUUUCGUGGGGGAUAACGUAGGGAAACUUACGCUAAUACCGCAUACGACCUACGGGUGAAAGCAGGGGAUCUUCGGACCUUGCGCGAUUGAAUGAGCCGAUGUCGGAUUAGCUAGUUGGCGGGGUAAAGGCCCACCAAGGCGACGAUCCGUAGCUGGUCUGAGAGGAUGAUCAGCCAAACUGGAAACGAGACACGGUCCAGACUCCUAAGGGAGGCAGCAGUGGGGAAUAUUGGACAAUGGGCGCAAGCCUGAUCCAGCCAUACCGCGUGGGUGAAGAAGGCCUUCGGGUUGUAAAGCCCUUUUGUUGGGAAAGAAAAGCAGCAGGUUAAUACCCCGCUGUUCUGACGGUACCCAAAGAAUAAGCACCGGCUAACUUCGUG
Molecule: ribosomal RNA, 492 nt
Filed under: uncultured bacterium
Lineage: Bacteria
Description: partial 16S ribosomal RNA
Rfam family: Bacterial small subunit ribosomal RNA
Source: RNAcentral